UACGUAGGUGGCGAGCGGUGUCCGGAUUUACUGGGCGUAAAGGGUGCGUAGGCGGAUAUUUAAGUGGGAUGUGAAAUACCCGGGCUCAACUUGGGUGCUGCAUUCCAAACUGGAUAUCUAGAGUGCGGGAGAGGAGAGUGGAAUUCCUAGUGUAGCGGUGAAAUGCGUAGAGAUUAGGAAGAACACCAGUGGCGAAGGCGACUCUCUGGACCGUAACUGACGCUGAGGCACGAAAGCGUGGGGAGCAAACAGG
Molecule: ribosomal RNA, 253 nt
Filed under: uncultured bacterium
Lineage: Bacteria
Description: partial 16S ribosomal RNA
Rfam family: Bacterial small subunit ribosomal RNA
Source: RNAcentral